RNAcentral lists this long non-coding RNA (618 nucleotides) under Fukomys damarensis (Damara mole-rat). Its description in RNAcentral is "lncRNA (ENSFDAG00000023060.1)". The record is from RNAcentral. Lineage: Eukaryota; Metazoa; Chordata; Mammalia; Rodentia; Bathyergidae.
UGGGUUUGCAAGUUAAGAACUCAGUAUGUACAUCUGGAAAUAGGGCUGCACUUUGUCCUGGCGCGAGGGAUGUAUUAUGGGCCAGUCAGUCAAUGGCAGCAGUAGUCGAAACUUGGUGACGCAGGGUAACAGAAGCGGUGGCUGCCGCAGUUCAAGUGGCUGCUAGGGAGACGACUAUGGCGGUGACGGCAGCUACACCUCAAUCUCGCUGAUGUCAUGGGUGAAGCAUUAUGUCGAAGAGGGUUCAGAUUCUCGCCAUUCACCUGUAAGAUUUACGGGUAACCAAAUUGCUGGGGGGGUGUGGCCAAAAUAUAGGUACCAGGUUUUAUUAGCGAACAUGGCUGGAUGGACGCACGAGGACUUAGGGACAGUAUCAUUGAGCUUGACAGCGGAACUGGUUACGAUGAAGAAAAAUGGCGAUGGAAGACAGGCUGUGAACGAAAAGACAGAGCAGGACACAUCAGGAAUAGUGAUUGUCUUUUGGAGAUGACCUCAGGACCACCCACCCCUGUAUUAGAAGAACAGACUGAAAAAGCAGAUUUUCGAACAGUAACUUGCUGUCUGAUAUUCCUGGCAGAAAUACAAAAACAUACUUUCAUCUCAAAUUUAUGACACCAU